RNAcentral lists this ribosomal RNA (500 nucleotides) under uncultured bacterium. RNAcentral's name for it is "partial 16S ribosomal RNA". It matches the Rfam family "Bacterial small subunit ribosomal RNA", at positions 30 to 523 of the family's 1533-position model. The record is from RNAcentral.
AUUGAACGCUGGCGGCAGGCCUAACACAUGCAAGUCGAGCGGCAGCGGGACCUUCGGGUUGCCGGCGAGCGGCGGACGGGUGAGUAAUGCCUAGGAAUCUGCCUGUUAGUGGGGGAUAACGCGGGGAAACUCGCGCUAAUACCGCAUACGUCCUACGGGAGAAAGCGGGGGCUCUUCGGACCUCGCGCUAACAGAUGAUCCUAGGUCGGAUUAGCUAGUUGGUGGGGUAAUGGCCCACCAAGGCGACGAUCCGUAACUGGUCUGAGAGGAUGAUCAGUCACACUGGAACUGAGACACGGUCCAGACUCCUACGGGAGGCAGCAGUGGGGAAUAUUGGACAAUGGGCGAAAGCCUGAUCCAGCCAUGCCGCGUGUGUGAAGAAGGUCUUCGGAUUGUAAAGCACUUUAAGUCGGGAGGAAGGACUGUAGGCUAAUACCUUGCAGUUUUGACGUUACCGACAGAAUAAGCACCGGCUAACUUCGUGCCAGCCGCCGCCGUAA